Molecule: long non-coding RNA, 1208 nt
Filed under: Callithrix jacchus (white-tufted-ear marmoset)
Lineage: Eukaryota; Metazoa; Chordata; Mammalia; Primates; Cebidae
Description: lncRNA (ENSCJAG00000084689.1)
Source: RNAcentral
UGAGAAAACAUGCUACAGCACAUUUACCGAAAUGCCAUCAUAAGUAAUUAAACCAAAAUUGCUCUUGUCAAAAUAAAUGAAUAAAUUUGAUGAGGCAUUUUCCUUUACUUUGCAGAUUUGUUCCACUUUAUCACUAAUUCAUAAAAUCCACAAAGGGUCUCUAGUCAUUAGCGUGAUUAGUUAAAAUCUGCUGUUGUUACAUUGUUGUGAAAGAGAAAGAAAAGCCAGGAGGGUUAUUGGGCCACAUGAAUAGGGUGAGAACAUAUUUCUAUAAGUACUUUAAAAGAGAACAUGUCAGCCCAUGAUUCAUCUGAUGCCAAGGCAGGAGUCAGUAAUGCUCAAUAUUUGUAUGUAAAUACUGAUUAUAGGAGUAUUUUUUUUUGACAAAAGGAACAUUUAGAAAGGAUUCAGAGCAAUAGUUUCAUAAUUAGAAAACAAAACUAGCCUGUUGUUUCGUAGUAUAAGCUACAGAAAAUAAAGCUUAACUGUACGUUGUGUUUUUUGGCAGGGUAUGUGUUACGGUGGUAGGGUGGGCACUGAUGAAGGCAGAUCUGUGUGGAUAUAUCACAUUGCGUAUCAGAUUUGCUAUAUCAAAAGAUGACUUCAGUUAAAAAUGAUGUUGACAAGAAGGAGCCUGGUAGAGGGAACAUAUGCUGGUGCUUUUCUAUAUUUGAUACUGUUUUCAUGUUUAGAAGACAAAUCAGUUUUAUAUUCCAGACAAGAGAUGGAAAAUGCAUUUAAUUUUCAGUGACCUUUCUCUAGUUCUCAUUCUCUUUUCUCUUCUCUGAAGCCUUUUAUAAUGAUGAAUACAUUAUUUUUCUUAAAUUUCUUUCUUUGGCUCCCACAAAGCUCUCCCAUCUUAGUUCUGCCUCAUUAUGUGACUGCACCACGUCCUCCAGUGUUUGAAAAAUUUGCGUUCUGGUUAUCCAUCACUGCAUAACAAACCACCUCCAAACUUCUUGGCUUAAAACAAUGACAAUCAUUUUGUUUUUAUUCCUCAUGGUUCUGGAGGUUGAUUGGCUCAGCCUGGUGGUUCUUACUUAGGUUCUCUCAAGCAGCAAUCAGGAAUGCUGGGCUAGAAUCAUCUGAAGGCUUAUUCACUCAUGUGUGGCUCCUGGGAAGAGGGAGGAGAUGUGAAUAGAUAGGAACUGCAGAAACUGAAGCAUCUUCCUCUGACUGUAUGUUGUCCCUUUUCACAGUUUUUUAAU